AAAUGAAUAGACGGGGGCCCGCACAAGCAGAGGAGCAUGUGGCUUAAUUCGAUGCAACGCGAAGAACCUUACCCGGGCUUGACAUGCGGCUGCACAACCGGUGAAAGCCGGUUUCCUUCGAGGGUGCCGCACAGGUGCUGCAUGGCUGUCGUCAGUUCGUGCCGUGAGGUGUUUGGUUAAGUCCAGCAACGAACGCAACCCCUGUGCCGUGUUGCCAACGCGUAAUGGCGGGGACUCGCGGCAGACUGCCCGUUCACACGGGAGGAAGGUGGGGACGACGUCAAGUCAGUAUGGCCCUUACGCCCGGGGCCGCACACGUGCUACAAUGGCCGGCACAGAGGGAAGCGACGCCGCGAGGCGGAGCCAACCCCCAAAACCGGCCCCAGUUCGGAUCGGUGUCUGCAACCCGACACCGUGAAGCCGGAUUUGCUAGUAACGGCGCAUCAGCCACGGCGCCGUGAAUACGUUCCCGGGCCUUGUACACACCGCCCGU
This 493-nucleotide ribosomal RNA is filed under the name uncultured bacterium. RNAcentral's name for it is "bacterial SSU rRNA". It matches the Rfam family "Bacterial small subunit ribosomal RNA", at positions 903 to 1397 of the family's 1533-position model. The record is from RNAcentral.